Molecule: long non-coding RNA, 496 nt
Organism: Oncorhynchus tshawytscha (Chinook salmon)
Lineage: Eukaryota; Metazoa; Chordata; Actinopteri; Salmoniformes; Salmonidae
Source: Ensembl
CGGAGGAGUUAUGUGACAUAUGCAGUUAUUGAAAAUAUGUGGUAAUAUCUGGUCAAUCCAAACUGAUUGAUCCAUGACUACAACAAUGGAGGCGCCAAGUGGAAAAGGGAGAAAGUAAGGGAACUUCUUUGUCUGCCAUAUAUUAAAGAUACGAAUUGGCUGAAAGGAACUGGGAUUAAAUAAUUACAUUUUUGUCCUCAGUUUCAUCUGAGGACAAAAAGGUUGCCAGCUGCGCCGUGCAGGUUGCAAAGUAAAUGGGAGGAGAUGUUCAAUAUACCGAUUCUAUGGUGAUAGGUGGGAUGGGCUGAGAGGGUGGUCUAUGGUGAUAGGUGGGAUGGGCUGAGAGGGUGGUCUAUGGUGAUAGGUGGGAUGGGCUGAGGGGGUGGUCUAUGGUGAUAGGUGGGAUGGGCUGAGAGGGUGGUCUAUGGUGAUAGGUGGGAUGGGCUGAGAGGGUGGUCUAUGGUGAUAGGUGGGAUGGGCUGAGAGGGUGGUCUAU